Molecule: ribosomal RNA, 774 nt
Filed under: uncultured Neocallimastigales
Lineage: Eukaryota; Fungi; Neocallimastigomycota; Neocallimastigomycetes; Neocallimastigales
Description: partial large subunit ribosomal RNA
Rfam family: Eukaryotic large subunit ribosomal RNA
Source: RNAcentral
UAUGUGAUCGUCUCUCGCAUAUCAAUAAGCGGAGGAAAAGAAACUAACCAGGAUUCCCCUAGUAACGGCGAGUGAAGCGGGAAGAGCUCAAAUUUGAAAUCUUAAAGGGUUUCCCUUUACGAAUUGUAGUUUAAAGAAGUGUUUUCUGUUGAGGUUUUGGUAAAAGUUCUUUGGAAUAGGACAUCAUAGAGGGUGAGAAUCCCGUAUUUGACCUUUACUUUCAACUUUGUGAUACACUUUCAAAGAGUCGGAUUGUUUGGGAAUGCAGUCCAAAAUGGGUGGUAAAUUUCAUCUAAAGCUAAAUAUUGGCGAGAGACCGAUAGCGAACAAGUACCGUGAGGGAAAGAUGAAAAGAACUUUGAAAAGAGAGUUAAACAGUACGUGAAAUUGUCAAAAGGGAAGCGUUUGACACCAGUGUUGUUUUUCUGAAAAUCAAUUAAAGAACUGUUUAUGCUAAGUUGUUUAGACUUUAUCAGCUAUCUGUUUAGUUUUGAGCUUUUCUUUAAUGCACUUUUCAGUUAACAAGUCAACAUCAAUUUCUUUUGCUGUAAAAAAGCUUGAGGAAGGUGGCUUGAGAUUCGUCUUAAGUGUUUAUAGCCUCUUGCCUAUGCAGUCGGAGAGAUUGAGGUCUGCAGCGUAGAUCCUUCGGGGCUAAAUGCAUUUGUGCUAAGUUAUAGCAUUUUAUAGACAACUUGUUGACUAUGAUUUGUCUCGUAGCUUACUCGCUUAUGUUAUUUUACCUACGCUUAGGAUGUUGACUGAUAUGUAGUCGUA